This 103-nucleotide small nuclear RNA is filed under the name Propithecus coquereli (Coquerel's sifaka). The record is from RNAcentral. Lineage: Eukaryota; Metazoa; Chordata; Mammalia; Primates; Indriidae.
GUGCUCUCUUUGGCAGGAUGUAUACUAAAACUGAAGAAUACAGAGAAAAUUAGCACGGCCUCUGUGCAAGAAAGCUUUCCUCUAGGAAGGAAACCAUGACCUG